AUUGAACGCUGGCGGCAGGCUUAACACAUGCAAGUCGAGCGAUCGGCGGACGGGUGAGUAAUGUCUGGGAACUUGCCUGAUGGAGGGGGAUAACAACUGGAAACGGUAGCUAAUACCGCAUACCAUCAGAUGUGCCCAGAUGUGAUUAGCUUGUGGGUGUGGUAAUGGCUCACCUGGGCAACGAUCCCUAGCGGGUCUGAGAGGAUGACCGGCCACACUGGAACUGAGACACGGUCCCGACUCCUACGGGAGGCAGCAGUGGGAAAUAUUGCACAAGGGGCGCAAGCCUGAUGCAGCCAUGCCGCGUGUGUGAAGAGGUCCUUCGAGUUGUAAAGCACGUUCAGCGAGGAGGCGUUACUCGCAGAAGAAGCACCGGCUAACUCCGUGCCAGCAGCCGCGGUAAUAC
RNAcentral lists this ribosomal RNA (406 nucleotides) under uncultured bacterium. Its description in RNAcentral is "partial 16S ribosomal RNA". It matches the Rfam family "Bacterial small subunit ribosomal RNA", at positions 30 to 526 of the family's 1533-position model. The record is from RNAcentral.